AGGGAGUCCCUCCCUCUAAAAGCACUCUGUGUGGGGAACAUGAGAGCCAGACCAAAGCUCAGAGGGAGAAACGAGGAACUAAACGCAAACCUGAACCUGAACCCAGCUGUGUGUCCUUAAAGAGUGACUGGUCCAAUGAUCGUGCCAUUUAUUUUAAAGUCCAGCCUGUGUCUGCUGCAGAGAGACAGUGCAUUUCCUCAUACUGGGACCAGUCUGCUUCAUCAGGAGACUCCUCCUGUCCCCAGUGUGGAGAAAGAUCCAGAACCAGAGCUGGACUGCAGACAGCCAGUCAGAGCAGCUGUGUACAAAAUGUUGGUCUGCAGGAGGUUUUAGAUGAAC
This is a long non-coding RNA of Oreochromis niloticus (Nile tilapia), 339 nucleotides long. RefSeq lists it as uncharacterized. The record is from RefSeq and is a predicted model, not a curated record. Lineage: Eukaryota; Metazoa; Chordata; Actinopteri; Cichliformes; Cichlidae. The transcript has 4 exons.